This 152-nucleotide long non-coding RNA is filed under the name Mustela putorius furo (domestic ferret). Its description in RNAcentral is "lncRNA (ENSMPUG00000030864.1)". Lineage: Eukaryota; Metazoa; Chordata; Mammalia; Carnivora; Mustelidae. The record is from RNAcentral.
CUCUACCUCCUCUUAAUUGCUUUGGAAGAAAACCAAGAAAAGAGAAACGAGAAAGAAGAAAAACAUUCAGCUUGAUUUUCUUGGGUCCUUUCCACUGUGCUUUCCUCCUUAGCGUGUUUCAGACAAAACUACCUUCCAGCACACCACUUCUG